This 700-nucleotide ribosomal RNA is filed under the name uncultured bacterium. RNAcentral describes it as "bacterial SSU rRNA". It matches the Rfam family "Bacterial small subunit ribosomal RNA", at positions 56 to 774 of the family's 1533-position model. The record is from RNAcentral.
AGCACCUUGCACAGAUCGCUUCGGUGUGAUGCGCUUGGUGACUUAGUGGCGAACGGGUGAGUAACACGUGGGUGACCUACCCCGAAGUGCGGCAUAACAGGGGGAAACUCCUGCUAAUUCCGCAUGUGCUCCCACCUCUUGUGGUGUGAGUAAAGAUUCAUCGCUUCGGGAUGGGCCCGCGGUCCAUCAGCUAGUUGGUAGGGUAAUGGCCUACCAAGGCUACGACGGAUAGCCGGCCUGAGAGGGUGACCGGCCACAGGGGCACUGAGACACGGACCCCACUCCUACGGGAGGCAGCAGUUAGGAAUCUUCCACAAUGGGCGAAAGCCUGAUGGAGCGACACCGCGUGAGGGAUGAAGGCCCUAGGGUCGUAAACCUCUAAAAGAGGGACGAUAAUGACGGUACCUCUUGAGAAGCACCGGCUAACUCCGUGCCAGCAGCCGCGGUAAUACGGAGGGUGCAAGCGUUAUCCGGAAUCACUGGGCGUAAAGGGCGCGUAGGCGGUCUGUUAAGUCCGAUGUCAAAUCCCGGGGCUCAACCCCGGAUCGGCGUUGGAUACUGGCAGGCUUGACGGCUGGAGAGGCGAGUAGAAUUACCAGUGUAGCGGUGGAAUGCGUAGAUACUGGUAGGAAUACCCAUUGCGAAGGCAGCUCGCUGGACAGCACGUGACGCUGAGGCGCGAAAGUGUGGGGAGCAAACC